Molecule: long non-coding RNA, 1044 nt
Filed under: Homo sapiens (human)
Lineage: Eukaryota; Metazoa; Chordata; Mammalia; Primates; Hominidae
Description: HSALNT0163050
Source: RNAcentral
UCACCAUGAAUAUAUGCACCAAGGGAAUGAACACACAAAUUAAAAGGCUGGAGUAUAGUGGUGCGAUCAUAGCUAGCUGCAGCCUUGAACUCCUCCUCAAGCAAUCCUUCCUCCUUGGCCUCGCAAAGUCCUGGGAUUACAGGCGUGAGCUACUGGGCCUGACCUACAAAAUGUUUUAUGCUUUCGGCCUAAAUAGUGUUCCUUGGAGAGAAAAUUACCCUGGGAAUGAAUAAACAAGAGCAAUGCAAAUGAGUGCUGAUAGUUGUUUUAAUAGGAACAACUUUGGUUCAACUUUAACUGCAAAUUGCCUGUUUUCAGAAGCAGCUCAAAUAUCAGAUCAAGUUAAUUUAGUUGGACUCCUGUCCCAUGCUUGAAAGUUUCUUCAUUGGAAAAGAUAUCCACGACUGUUACAGAUGCUUCGUGGAGGUUCAAAAAGACUACAGAUCAAGGCCAGUGACCUUCUACACAUGGUGGACACUCCAGCCUCUGCUCAAUCUCCAUCCACACUUAAAGGAAAUAGCCAACUCUUGGCCAACCUUCAGGCCUGGGAAGAGGCUCAAGCAGACACUGAAGACGGACUUAAGUGAGUGAAGCUUUGGCAGGACCAUGUCUCUGAAUGUCUCAUUGGAAGGGUUUCAUCACUGUCCCUGAAAGCCUCCUUCAUCAAGAUUUUUUGAAUGUUGUAUUUCCUGAGUUGACUCUGAUUUUCUAAUCUUUGCUUUUCUGAUUUACAUGUCUGUUUGGUUCUAUAUUCCGAGUAAGUAGCUUGCGUUUGUCUUCCAACUCUUCAAAUUAUUGUUGCAUUUGUGCUUUAUCAUUAAAUGCCAAGAAUUCCUUUUAUAAUUGAUGUACUUUUGAGCUGGUCAGUUUUUAUUAAAAAAAAAAUUUAGAAACUUCUGCUCAGAUAAUCUGUGCUUUAGAUGAUUAUAACAUGUCAUUAAUAAUUUUCUGAUUUUUAUGCUUGUAUUGGCCUUAAAGAUAAUGUCCAUGUUAUAGAAAAUACAAAUUGAGUGUUCAGGAAUAAAGGCCUAACACAUCUUCAAU